GAUGAACGCUGGCGGCGUGCCUAAUACAUGCAAGUCGAGCGAACAGAUGAUGAGCUUGCUCCUCUGACGUUAGCGGCGGACGGGUGAGUAACACGUGGAUAAUCUACCUAUAAGACUGGGAUAACUUCGGGAAACCGGAGCUAAUACCGGAUAAUAUAUUGAACCGCAUGGUGCAAUAGUGAAAGACGGUUUUGCUGUCACUUAUAGAUGGAUCUGCGCCGCAUUAGCUAGUUGGUAAGGUAACGGCUUACGAAGGCAACGAUGCGUGGCCGAACUGUGAGGGGGAUCGGCCGCACUGGAACUGAGACACGGUCCAGACUCCUACGGGAGGCAGCAGUAGGGAAUCUUCCGCAAUAGGCGAGAGCCUGACGGAGCGACGCCGCGUGAGUGAUGAAAGUCUUCGGAUCGUAAAGCUCUGUUAUUAGUGAAAAACAAAUGUGUCAGUAAAUGUGCACGGCUUGACGGUACCUAAUCAGAAAGCCACGGCUAACUACGUG
This 497-nucleotide ribosomal RNA is filed under the name uncultured bacterium. RNAcentral describes it as "partial 16S ribosomal RNA". It matches the Rfam family "Bacterial small subunit ribosomal RNA", at positions 28 to 507 of the family's 1533-position model. The record is from RNAcentral.